Molecule: long non-coding RNA, 324 nt
Organism: Apodemus sylvaticus (European woodmouse)
Lineage: Eukaryota; Metazoa; Chordata; Mammalia; Rodentia; Muridae
Exons: 3
Source: RefSeq, a predicted model, not a curated record
AAAUGCUGUGGCUUACAUUAGCCUUCAUAGUCCCAUCCGGGGCAACUCCAGUCUGUAUCCAGUAGCAUCUCCGUCUCUCCAGCAACUGGUUGUAGAGAAAAUUAAGUUCAAUUGCAUGCGAAGAGCUCCAUGCCUAGGAGCCAAUGUCAGCUCUGUGCAGAUACAAGGUGAUGCUGAUUAUUUCAUCAACCAUCUUGGAAUUCCAACUGUGCAGUUGGCUUAUGAGGACAUCAAAACAUUAGAGGGUCCAAGUUUUCUCUCUGAGGCCAUUUUUCCUAAACAUGCAGCAAAAAUUGAAGAAGUAGAUCCAUCUUUCAACCUCCA